CAAUAGCGUAUAUUAAAGUUGUUGCAGUUAAAAAGCUCGUAGUUGGAUCUCGGGAGAGGGCCGGCGGUCCGCCUCGCGGCGGUUUCACUGCCGACGCCCUCCUCCCACCUCGCCGGUCCCUCCCCGGUGCCCUUCGUUGAGUGUCGGGGUGGGCCGGAGCGUUUACUUUGAAAAAAUUAGAGUGUUCAAAGCAGGCCUCGAGCUUGUAUACCGUUGCAUGGAAUAAUGGAAUAGGACCUCGGUUCUAUUUUGUUGGUUUUCGGAACGCGAGGUAAUGAUUAAUAGGGACCGACGGGGGCAUUUGUAUUGCGCGGUUAGAGGUGAAAUUCUUGGAUCCGUGCAAGACAGACUACAGCGAAGGCGUCUGCCAAGCACGUCUUCUUUAAUCAAGAGCGACAGUCAGAGGUU
RNAcentral lists this ribosomal RNA (408 nucleotides) under Annelida sp. MM00658. Its description in RNAcentral is "SSU rRNA". It matches the Rfam family "Eukaryotic small subunit ribosomal RNA", at positions 592 to 998 of the family's 1831-position model. The record is from RNAcentral. RNAcentral also lists the same sequence under 2 other names. Lineage: Eukaryota; Metazoa; Annelida.